GAUGAACGCUGGCGGCGUGCCUAAUACAUGCAAGUCGAGCGAACGGACGAGAAGCUUGCUUCUCUGAUGUUAGCGGCGGACGGGUGAGUAACACGUGGAUAACCUACCUAUAAGACUGGGAUAACUUCGGGAAACCGGAGCUAAUACCGGAUAAUAUUUUGAACCGCAUGGUUCAAAAGUGAAAGACGGUCUUGCUGUCACUUAUAGAUGGAUCCGCGCUGCAUUAGCUAGUUGGUAAGGUAACGGCUUACCAAGGCAACGAUGCAUAGCCGACCUGAGAGGGGGAUCGGCCACACUGAAACUGAGCCACGGUCCAGACUCCGACGGGAGGCAGAAGUAGGGAAUCUUCCGCAAAGGGCGAAAGCCUGACGGAGCAACGCCGCGUGAGUGAUGAAGGUCUGCGGAUCGUAAAACUCUGUUAUUAGGGAAGAACAUAUGUGUAAGUAACUGUGCACAUCUGGACGGUACCUAAUCAGAAAGCCACGGCUAACUACGG
This 496-nucleotide ribosomal RNA is filed under the name uncultured bacterium. Its description in RNAcentral is "partial 16S ribosomal RNA". It matches the Rfam family "Bacterial small subunit ribosomal RNA", at positions 28 to 506 of the family's 1533-position model. The record is from RNAcentral.